UCUUUUCUUUUAAGACAGAUGCUGUAACGA
Molecule: non-coding RNA, 30 nt
Filed under: Rattus norvegicus (Norway rat)
Lineage: Eukaryota; Metazoa; Chordata; Mammalia; Rodentia; Muridae
Source: RNAcentral